Molecule: ribosomal RNA, 468 nt
Filed under: uncultured bacterium
Lineage: Bacteria
Description: partial 16S ribosomal RNA
Rfam family: Bacterial small subunit ribosomal RNA
Source: RNAcentral
GAUGAACGCUGGCGGCGUGCUUAACACAUGCAAGUCGAACGGAAAGGCCCAAGCUUGCUUGGGUACUCGAGUGGCGAACGGGUGAGUAACACGUGGGUGAUCUGCCCUGCACUUCGGGAUAAGCCUGGGAAACUGGGUCUAAUACCGGAUAGGACCACUUCUUGGAUGUUGUGGUGGAAAGUUUUUUCGGUGUGGGAUGAGCUCGCGGCCUAUCAGCUUGUUGGGGGGGUAAUGGCCUACCAAGGCGUCGACGGGUAGCCGGCGUGAGAGGGGGUACGGCCACAUUGGGACUGAGAUACGGCCCAGACUCCUACGGGGGGCAGCAGUGGGGAAUAUUGCACAAUGGGGGCAAGCCUGAUGCAGCGAAGCCGCGUGGGGGGUAACGGCCUUCGGGUUGUAAACUCCUUUCGCUAGGGACGAAGCGUUUUUGUGACGGUACCUGGAGAAGAAGCACCGGCUAACUACGUG